This 108-nucleotide transfer RNA is filed under the name Gymnopus androsaceus JB14. RNAcentral describes it as "tRNA-Leu". It matches the Rfam family "tRNA". Rfam says of the family: Transfer RNA (tRNA) molecules are approximately 80 nucleotides in length. The record is from RNAcentral. Lineage: Eukaryota; Fungi; Basidiomycota; Agaricomycetes; Agaricales; Omphalotaceae.
GGCGAGAUGGCCGAGCGGUCUAAGGCGCCAGACUAAGGAGACCAGCGUAUCUGAUACGCAAUUUCAUCUGGUCCGAAAGGGCGUGGGUUCGAAUCCCACUCUUCGUCA